GACGAACGCUGGCGGCGUGCUUAACACAUGCAAGUCGAACGGGAAGGCCCUGCUUUUGUGGGGUGCUCGCGUGGCGAACGGGUUAGUAACACGUGCGUCACCUGCCCUUGACUUUGGGAUAACCUCAGGAAACUGUGGCUAAUACCCGAUAGGAGCUCCUGCUGCAUGGUGGGGGUUGGAAAGUUUCGGCGGUUGGGGAUGGACUCGCGACUUAUCAGCUUGUUGGUUGGGUAGUGGCUUACCAAGGCUUUGACGGGUAGCCGGCCUGCGAGGGUGACCGGCCAUAUUGGGUCUGAGAUACGCCCAAGCCUCCUUCGGGAGGCAGCAGUGGGGAAUAUUGCACAAUGGGCGGAAGCCUGAUGCAGCAACGCCACGUGUGGGAUGACGGCCUUCGGGUUGUAAACCGCUUUCGCCUGUGACGAAGCGUGAGUGACGGUAAUGGGUAAAGAAGCACCGGCUAACUACGUG
Molecule: ribosomal RNA, 468 nt
Filed under: uncultured bacterium
Lineage: Bacteria
Description: partial 16S ribosomal RNA
Rfam family: Bacterial small subunit ribosomal RNA
Source: RNAcentral